This 749-nucleotide ribosomal RNA is filed under the name uncultured Serratia sp. RNAcentral's name for it is "bacterial SSU rRNA". It matches the Rfam family "Bacterial small subunit ribosomal RNA", at positions 751 to 1502 of the family's 1533-position model. Lineage: Bacteria; Pseudomonadati; Pseudomonadota; Gammaproteobacteria; Enterobacterales; Yersiniaceae. The record is from RNAcentral.
GUGCGAAAGCGUGGGGAGCAAACAGGAUUAGAUACCUGGUAGUCCACGCUGUAAACGAUGUCGAUUGGAGGUUGUGCCAUUGAGGCGUGGCUUCCGGAGCUAACGCGUUAAAUCGACGGCUUGGGGAGUACGGCCGCAAGGUUAAAACUCAAAUGAAUUGUCGGGGGCCCGCACAAGCGGUGGAGCAUGUGGUUUAAUUCGAUGCAACGCGAAGAACCUUACCUACUCUUGACAUCCAGAGAACUUUCCAGAGAUGGAUUGGUGCCUUCGGGAACUCUGAGACAGGUGCUGCAUGGCUGUCGUCAGCUCGUGUUGUGAAAUGUUGGGUUAAGUCCCGCAACGAGCGCAACCCUUAUCCUUUGUUGCCAGCGGUUCGGCCGGGAACUCAAAGGAGACUGCCAGUGAUAAACUGGAGGAAGGUGGGGGUGACGUCAAGUCAUCAUGGCCCUUACGAGUAGGGCUACACACGUGCUACAAUGGCGUAUACAAAGAGAAGCGACCUCGCGAGAGCAAGCGGACCUCAUAAAGUACGUCGUAGUCCGGAUUGGAGUCUGCAACUCGACUCCAUGAAGUCGGAAUCGCUAGUAAUCGUAGAUCAGAAUGCUACGGUGAAUACGUUCCCGGGCCUUGUACACACCGCCCGUCACACCAUGGGAGUGGGUUGCAAAAGAAGUAGGUAGCUUAACCUUCGGGAGGGCGCUUACCACUUUGUGAUUCAUGACUGGGGUGAAGUCGUAACAAGGUAACCA